Ribosomal RNA from Arabis alpina (gray rockcress), 113 nucleotides. It matches the Rfam family "5.8S ribosomal RNA", at positions 40 to 154 of the family's 154-position model. Rfam says of the family: 5.8S ribosomal RNA (5.8S rRNA) is a component of the large subunit of the eukaryotic ribosome. It is transcribed by RNA polymerase I as part of the 45S precursor that also contains 18S and 28S rRNA. The record is from Rfam. Lineage: Eukaryota; Viridiplantae; Streptophyta; Magnoliopsida; Brassicales; Brassicaceae.
CAAAUAGCGAAAUGCGAUACCUGGUGCGAAUUGCAGAAUCCCGUGAACUAUCGAGUCUUUGAACGCAAGUUGCCCCAAGCCUUAUGGCCGAAGGCAUGUAUGCAUGGGUGUCA